GGGACACGAGUGCUUCUCCGAUUUAAAAAUACACAUGCACACAAUGCCAUUUAGAGCAGAGAGCCUAUACUUUUAGGACUCAAGUCAAACUCUCAUCUGUUUAGGGAUUCACACACAAUCCAGUUUUCCUUCCCUUUGCUUCCCUUCCUAGGCCUCUGGACAGGAGCAUAAAAGUAGCAAAACAAGCCAGAAGAUCGUGGAUGAUUUAAAUUUGAGCACGUUUGAGGCUCUGCGGAUUGACCCUGUUGCUAACACCCACCCACUUCUGGUCUUUGUCAACCCUAAGAGUGGUGGGAAGCAGGGAGAGAGGGUGCUUUGGAAAUUCCAGUAUCUGCUAAACCCUCGACAGGUGUUCAACCUCCUAAAGGAUGGUCCUGAGCCAGGGCUUAGAUUCUUCAGAGAAGUUCCCGAUUACCGGAUUUUGGUGUGUGGUGGAGAUGGCACAGUAGGCUGGAUCCUCGAGACCAUUGACAAAGCCAACUUGCCUGUUGUGCCUCCUGUUGCUGUGUUACCCCUGGGCACUGGAAAUGAUCUAGCUCGUUGUCUAAGAUGGGGAGGAGGUAAAUGAUUAGAAAUUUUUGCUUGGGUAAUGGGUGGAGUUGGGUUGGAAGGGGAAGACACCUAGAAAGCAUCUAGGCGUCUGGUGUACAAAGAGGGUUGGGAAGAAUAGGCAUAGAUGGGCAGGUACCAAAGUGGAUUGUCCCAAAAGGAGAGAGCUGUGGAAGGAACAAGGAUCACAGUCUGAACUUAGAAGGGUCAAGGGUGAUGGUUCUCUCCCCUAUAAAUCUAAAAAUCUUCUAUUUCUCCCAACCAAUUCUUAGGGCCCAGAGCAUCAGGGAAAAAGGGGGUAGAGGGAGGACAGUGUAGGAAUAAGAAAGGUUGUAUAAGAGCUAAGCCAGCUCUGGCCAGUGUGGCUCAGUUG
This is an RNA transcript of Myotis brandtii (Brandt's bat), 922 nucleotides long. It is a transcript of the gene named diacylglycerol kinase alpha-like, with no coding region annotated. NCBI's taxonomy places the organism in Eukaryota, Metazoa, Chordata, Mammalia, Chiroptera, Vespertilionidae. The transcript is spliced from 5 exons. The record is from RefSeq and is a predicted model, not a curated record.